AGUGAACGCUGGCGGCGUGCUUAACACAUGCAAGUCGAACGAGAACGGAUUAUAGCUUGCUAUAAUUGUCAGCUAAGUGGCGCACGGGUGAGUAAUGUAUAGGUAAUAUGCCUCUUACUAAGGGAUAACAAAUGGAAACGUUUGCUAAUACCUUAUACUCCUUAUUAACAGAAGUUAAUAAGGGAAAGAUUUAUUGGUAAGAGAUUAGCCUGUAUUGUAUCAGUUAGUUGGUGGGGUAAUGGCUUACCAAGACUAUGACACAUAACUGUUUUGAGAGGAUGAACAAGCACACUGGAACUGAGAGACGGUCCAGACUCCUACGGGAGGCAGCAGUGGGGAUUAUUGCACACUGGACGAAAGUCUGAUGCAGCAACGCCGCGUGGAGGAUGACACAUUUCGGUGCGUAAACUCCUUUUAUAUGAGAAGAUAAUGACGGUAUUAUAUGAAUAAGCACCGGCUAACUCCGUGCCAGCCGCCGCGGUAA
RNAcentral lists this ribosomal RNA (484 nucleotides) under uncultured bacterium. RNAcentral describes it as "partial 16S ribosomal RNA". It matches the Rfam family "Bacterial small subunit ribosomal RNA", at positions 29 to 523 of the family's 1533-position model. The record is from RNAcentral.